This is a long non-coding RNA of Ipomoea triloba (trilobed morning glory), 620 nucleotides long. RefSeq lists it as uncharacterized. The transcript is spliced from 2 exons. The record is from RefSeq and is a predicted model, not a curated record. Lineage: Eukaryota; Viridiplantae; Streptophyta; Magnoliopsida; Solanales; Convolvulaceae.
GUUUCUUCAACUUUUCAUAGGCAUAGAAGGACAUCUACCACCUGGAGCCUCCAGGUUUAGGUUUCUAGCAAGGGCGACGGUGUAUGAAGAUCGAGCUGAUAUUUCAAUUCCUGUAUAAGAAUGGCGAUUGCGGAGUUGAAAAAAUUGGUGACGAGAUUGAAGAGGAAGCUUGUGGGGAAGAAGAAGAAGAAAUUGAAGAAGCUUCUGAUGAAAACGAACAGCAGGUGUGCAUAUAGCAAGUUGGAUAAGAGCGAAAGCACGAGAAUCGAAAUGCGAAGCGACAAGCUAGGCUCGCAAGAUCGUAGUUUGGACUCUCGAUCGGAAUUGCUGAUGAUUUCCGCUUAAUCGACGUUGUUCGUUUUGAAUUGAAUUUGUUGUGUUUACAGUUACACACGUACGCGUGUCUGUGAGAGAUUCCGGGUUUCCGGCCGGCCGCCGGUUUUUGUUCCGAUAUGGGAUGGAUAGGAUGUGUGUAAGGGGUUCAUCAUGCCGUAUCAUAUUCAUAUUCAUAUAUUGGUGUAUGUUAAGGUUGAUCAUUUCUUGUGUGAUAACAAGUUGAUACGGAGUAUUAUAUAGUGUAUGUUGGAUUACAACUUAAGAUAAAUUUUCGAUCAAGAACA